Molecule: ribosomal RNA, 462 nt
Filed under: uncultured bacterium
Lineage: Bacteria
Description: partial 16S ribosomal RNA
Rfam family: Bacterial small subunit ribosomal RNA
Source: RNAcentral
GACGAACGCUGGCGGCGUGCUUAACACAUGCAAGUCGAACGGAAAGGCCCUUCGGGGUACUCGAGUGGCGAACGGGUGAGUAACACGUGGGUGAUCUGCCCUGCACUUUGGGAUAAGCCUGGGAAACUGGGUCUAAUACCGAAUAGGACCACGCGCUUCAUGGUGUGUGGUGGAAAGCUUUUGCGGUGUGGGAUGGGCCCGCGGCCUAUCAGCUUGUUGGUGGGGUAAUGACCUACCAAGGCGACGACGGGUAGCCGGCCUGAGAGGGUGACCGGCCACACUGGGACUGAGAUACGGCCCAGACUCCUACGGGAGGCAGCAGUGGGGAAUAUUGCACAAUGGGCGCAAGCCUGAUGCAGCGACGCCGCGUGAGGGAUGACGGCCUUCGGGUUGUAAACCUCUUUCAAUAGGGACGAAGCGCAAGUGACGGUACCUAUAGAAGAAGCACCGGCCAACUACGUG